UUGUUUCUAAGAAUAGAGUCUUGAGUAAGAAAACCCUAGUAGCAUCUGUUUGGCAGCAAUCUCAGCAUAGUUCAGAGCUCUCAGCAUUUAAUCUGUGUAUUCUCAAAACAAAGAAAGCACAUGUGUAACUAGAAACGAUCUCAACUAUAUCUCUAUUUUCUACGUUACUCGAAUAUGUUGCUUAAAUAUCAGGUAUGCCCACCUGCUCGAGCUGAUUUUUUCCGUCUCUAAGUAUGAUAUGUUGUUUGUUUUGUGCAAUUUAUACCUUUGCUUGUUGAUAUAUUCCUUUUCUUUUGAACUAGCUGGUCGUUCUUUUAAAUAUGAAAGUUUGUGGUAUGAUAAGAUCCAAACUAAGAAUGGGAUUAUUCCUAAGAGAAUAGUGCGUUUCUAAUUGUUCUGGAAACAGAGGUACUCGAAGCUAAAUGAACUAAAAUAGUGUUUGAGAGACUACAGAGAGAGAGAGAGAGAGAGUUGUAUUAAACAUGAAUUACAAGUGAAGUAUUUUUCUGAUUUUUAGUCGAGCAGUGAUAGAAAGUAGUUGCAGUUGUUCAACUGAUCCAUGUGCGGCAUCACGUGCCACUAGUUCCUAACAACUUUCUAUCUAGCUAAAAAAUUGCAGUUGCUAUUGCACUAUUCUGAAGUUAUCUAAUAUAAAUAGAUCAUAUCAUAGUGUAUUGUGUAUGUCUAAAGAAUCAAUUAUAUUUUACAAUCAAAUUCUUCCGUUCUUGUCUAACUGAAACUAUGUUUACUGUCUACUAUAAUCUUAGGUAUGCCGCCUCUUUCGCAAGUUUUAUUAAGUUUCAUCUCUAAUUCUGCUUGUUUGGUUUCUUUGUAUACUAUUGUUGCUAAUGUUCUGAUAGUUGCUAGAGUGGUACUAAAAUUGAGAAAUCUAUCGUGAAUAACAACUGAAUCUGGGUGUAGCUCGUCGCACCAGACUUGCCUAGUGCGGGUUACCUCUCCUAUGUGGUUUGCCAGCUAUUGCAUAGGAGCGGGUGUUUUACCAUGUGCGCACCCAAAGGGUAGCGACCGUGGAUUUUCCUUGUCAUUAAAAAAAAACAACUCAACAAUUGUUCAACAUUUACGGCAAAUAGAGCAGGCGGAAAGAGUUGUUGUAGUUGUUAAAACUGAUCCACAUGGGUAGUAACGUGCCAUUAAAUCCUGAGAGAUUUCUAUCUAACUAAAAUAAAUUAGGAAUUUCAAUCAUUAAUUUCAUUUAUUGCUUGAUGGCAUGAAGUUUCAUUUCUAGCCGCUUUCUUUGUAUUUGGUGUGGCUCAGCCUCUCCGGGGAAAAUUAAAUAUAUUAAGUGGGCAGUCAUAUUAUUUAAUGAUAAGCAUAUAUAUAAAAACAUAUAGCAAAGACAAGAAUGAGAAACUCUUUUUCUAGUACAUUUAUUAUGCCUUAUAGUUUGUCAACAAACCUCUGGAACAAUUUAACCUCCUCUUCUUCCUCAUAAUCGUGGAGUUCUGCUAUUUCGAGCAUCUAACAAGAACAGAAUAUUGUAGUAAGAAAAUGGGAGCAGGAAAUAGGAAAAAAAACAGGAAAAUAUAAGAGGUUAGUAACUGAAGAAUGUAGUUUAAAGCACAACAACACCCAUAUUGCUUCUGUGGAAAUUUCUUCACUUUCCUCCACAAGAGUUUGUAUUGUCUCUAGUUUCUUUUGGAGCAUGAUAAUUCCUCUAUGGAGGUCUUCCUACUCACUAGUAACACCAUUCAGAUUUCUCUAUUAUUAUUCACUUAUGCUCCUUUUGCUAACAAUAUCAUCAUACUUGGUAAUAUCAAUCUGUAAGUUCUCACUGUAACAGCGCUAAACAUCAUAAUUAUCCUAAAUAUAUAAUUAAUUAUUUGAUUAAUAAGAUGGAGGGGUAUUUUGGGGAGAGAGGACCGACAUUGGGCUCUUGAAGUGAAGUCUUGCUCCACCUAAGUUCAAACCUAGGUGCAACCAAUGAAUUAAAGUGGUUUUUUAUUUAAGCUAUUGAAUUAAUGUAAUUAAUUAAUAAUGAUUAUUCAUUAUCUGAUUUAAAGUAAAAUAAAAAUCAAAUUUUUAUUAAAUAAACAAAACCUUAUUGACUAAGUUCUAAAACUAGACUCCUAAGCCUCCUAGAACUCCCACUCUCUCACGUUUAUCUCUCCACUCUCACGCUCAAUCUCUCUUAUUCUUUCUCACAUUUUUUCUCUGCCAAAAUAAUAUACAAAAGCAGAAAAAAACCAAGUUCUUCACCCUAGAAGAACUCACACGAAAUAAUAAGAAAACAAACGUUAAUCUCACACUAGGCUAAGGGAGGUUGUCAUUCGAGAGGAGUUGAUAUUGAGGAGGCCUAAACGUGUGCUUGGGUGAAGUUUUUGGGAAGCAGGUCAAGAUUUUAACGUCAAAAAGGUAUGGGUUCUCUUCCCUCUUGGUCGCUUUCCAAAGACACCCCUUAAGGUUCAGACGAAUCUAUUCCAAAAACUAGGAUUGUUCCCCGUUGCAUGUCCCUGUCACUAGCUCCCAUUGAAUCAUAGGUUGGUUAUGUUUGCUGGUAGAAAACUAGGGAUGAAACGUGUUUUCAUGAUGACUAUGUGUUUAUAUGUAUGUUUAGAAUUAUGUGACUUAUGUUGAUGUUUCCAAAAAUAUAAUUAUGUGUGUAUGUGUGUGUUGUCGUGGCUAUUGUUCAUGGUUUAGGACUUGAAAUUGCAUGAUAGUUCUUUAUAUUUCAUGUACACAUGUUGAUGUAAAUGUGAUGUUCAUAUGGGUUGAACUGUGGCUGAUUUGAGGGAUAAUCGCUUGUCUAAACGAAUCCAUCAAAACACACCAAAUACGUUCUAAAUGCACUACGAAAUUCCCCUAAGAACUAAGGUGUAAUUUGAUGAAAGGAUGCUGAAAAAUUAAAAGAAAACUUGCAGCUUCUAAAGAUGAAUUUCGGUCAGCAAAGAGGGUUCAAAAUGUUGAAAAAAAUGAAUUAAAACAAGUGAGGUCAUGGAGGAUUGAACUCGUGACCUCACCAUGUUAAAAACCAUGAAAAUAAAGAAGUUAAAAUAAAUGUGCUGAAUGGGAUUCGAACCAUGGUAUUAGCUUGAAAAUGUAAGUUAAAACAAAAAAAUAAGAAAUAAGAGGAGUGAGAUUCGAAUCCACUACCUCUUAAUCAGAUUUAAAGAGGAGAAUAAAAGAAAAAUAAAGGGGGAGGCAUGUGGGAAUCGAACCCACGACCUUUAAGGAAGAUUAAGGAGGAGAAUAAAAAAAAUCUAAAGGGGGAGGCGUGUGGGAAUUGAACCCACAACCUCUUAGGCAGAUUAAGGAGGUGAAUAAAAGUAAAAUCAAGGGGGAGGCUUGUGGGAAUCGAACGCACGACCUCUUAGGCAGAUUUAAGGAGGAGAAUAAAAGAAAAAUAAAGGGGGAGGCGUGUGGAAAUCUAACCCACGACCUCUUAAUUAGAUUUAAGGAGGAGAAUAAAAGAAAAAUAAAGAGAGGUUGUUGGGCUUUUAUCCCAUAACCUCAUAGACAACUCGAAAUAGACAAGGAGAAAUAGAUAAAAAAUAAAUAAAUAAAAGGGGAUGUGGGGCUUUGAUCCCACAACCCCUCGGCCAAGAUAAAGAAUUUUCAAAUGAUAGAACUAAAAAGGAAAUAGUGAUGUUAGGGCUCGAUCUAGGGUCCCAAUGACACGUGGAUUAGAAUAAAUAAAAAGAAAAAUGUAAAGUGUUAUCCAAGGGAUUUUAAAUUGGGUUCCCUUGCCCGAAUUCCGUACAUGAAUUAAAUAUUCAAGAAUAAUGCUGCCUACUGAGAUCGAAAUUGAGAUCUUGGCAUAAAUACAAGAUGCAUAAGUCUUGUACUACAUAAUCUUCGAAGAUAUGAAUUAUUUAAACAAACGAUGAAUGAAGCCUCAUGACUUGUAUGUAUAGACCCAUAAGUCUAGCAUACGUUUAAAAUAAGUCAACCUAAGAUGUAUGUAAUGAAAUGAUGUAACCCUAGAAGGGUUAAGUAAGAGGGUAACACACUAAAUGUCCAUGUCCGUUGGCACAUAAUGAAAUGAACAAUGAAAUGAUGAAAUGAACAAAGAAAUGAUGAAAUGAACAAUGUAAUUAUGAAACCCUAUAAGGGUUAAGUAUGAGUGUGAAACACACUAAAUGUCCAAUUGCAUUGGCAUAUGAUGAAAUGAACAUUCACGUAAAAUGGGGUGCGUAAUUAUGAAGAGAAAAUUUACUAAUGUUAAUGAACGUGGUGACAACAUGAUAUGAGGCUUAUGUGAAAGAUGAGAGCAAUCUUAAAUGAUCCUAAGUAAAUGUUACCAAAACGUACUCACCUAUGAGAGUGUAAAGUUAAUGAAGAGACUUGUCUCUAUGAACACUCUAAUGAAAGUAUUGAGAUUAACACAUUGAAUACUAAUGAUGAGAUGAGAAAUCAUCUAUUGAGAUAUGAUGUUCUCAUACUAGAAGCCAACUUCCGUGACGUAUGCGUUAAAUAUAAUGAAACUUUAUAAUGAGAAUCGAUAGACUAGCUAUGAGCGGUGCUUCCUUCUUUCGGAAGGGCGGAGGUUCAUGUAACUCUCAUUAGAUCAGACUGUCCGGUAUGUCGGGUAUAGGUCUCCUUAUAUCUCCUAGUAUUCGAACCUAUACUGCCAAUAUAGGGAUCUGGCGGGGUUCAAUCCCCAUGUACGCUAGCAUGUUUUGGGUAACUUUGGCUGGUGAUUCCACCUUUUUCGGUGUGAGGUUUCAUGACACUGGAUUUCAUGAUGCUCACAUGAUCUUUUGGGUUAAAGUUAAAGUUUAUAAUGAAUGAAUGAGGUCAGCCUCAAAUGAUGCACAUAACAAAAUGAGCGAUACCAAAGGUGUUAGGAUAGGAUAAUCAAAAGGUGAGUUAGAUUCAAGUAAUGACAUUAGGUCAUUCUUCACCAUUGCACAACGAACCCGAUGAAAGGCUUAAACUACAUCCUAGGUAUAGCUUGUGUUUACUCUGGCCCAUAAAUGAAAUAAAAUGAAGUACGUAUGAAUGAACAAUACAUUAAGAUUCCGGUAAACAUUCAAGUGUUCUUCUUGCUACUUUGCCAUUUUGAUUUUGUUCGAGUAAAAGUUGGAUCAACUUGUUUGCAUUGCUACCAUUCCUAAUCUAUUUAACCGGUUAGUAUUCGGAAUUAGCAUUUACAUUAUUUUUUAUAUUCGUACAUUUGUGUGAGCUCAUUGUUCUAUUCUUUUGUUAUGUAUAAGUUGUUAAACAAUUGCAUAUUGUCUCACCUUGAGUAAUAAAUGUGAUUACUUGUGUAGUUAUUUGAUUGCUUUAACAGGUUUCAAACUUGAAAUUCAAGUUGAAGAUGAACCAUGAAGAAAGAUUUAUUUGUUUAUUUGAAUCUAAAUUUUUUUUCUUAUUUUAUUUAUUCUAAUGUUGUAAUAUUUGUAACUCUAGAGCUCUCAUAUAUAAAUUUAUUUGGAGAUCGUCUAUGGGAGGGGGAUUUACAUGCCUACUUGUUCAUUGUAAUUUUUUUUAAAAAAGUUAGAAAUCAUGCCUAUAGGUUUAUCUUUAACCACCUAGAAUUAUUGUUUGUAGGUGUUAUAAUCUAACCAAUUUUCAAUUUGUCUGGCGCUUUUGUUAAUAAGUCUUAAAAAAAAUUAAUAACUAGAUUCCAUUAAUUUUGAAUGUUAAAAUCAAAUCAUAAUAAUUUAGUAGGCUAAUUAGGUGUUUAAAAAUGUUAUAACUUUUUAGCAUUAUCUUGUCAUGUAGAAACCAGGCCUAACGAUUAAUUUGUUCAUAUCAUUUAGAUUUACAAAAUCAUGCAUGCAUGUGUUACUAAAAUUAGUUAAUAUUUGUCCCUUUUUAAGAUCUCUGCACUCAUGAUGCAAUAUGUCGUUUCUAAAAUAGUAAUAUUAAAUUAGAAUCAUUUCAUGCACUUAACAAAUUACUUAGCUUUUAAAAUAUAUUUCAUAGUAAAACUUUUGCAUUUAAUAAAUUUACCACCUUAAUAUUCUACUAGUUUUUUUUCUUACUUACAAAGUUUUGCAAACAUAAUUUUCUUAAAAGUCAUUAUUCAAUCUUUUUUUAAAACUUUGGAUUGAUUAUGACAUUGUUUAUUUUUGAAAUAAAUUAUAAGCACUAUCUCCUAACCUAUCGUUAGUGGGAAAGUCAAAGGAACUAUGAGGUCUAGUUCCAAUUUUUAAAAUUAAACCGACGCGUCCUUGGAAGUACCACCUACCCAUGAAUUUCAAAAGGAAUUAUGUGUAUUUAUGUGCAUACAUGUAAACUAAAUCUUUUAAAUCAUUUACAAAAACAUAAACUAUUUUUUAGACCGACCUCAAAUCAAAAUUGUUUCUAUGGUGGAGGAGCGCGAUCAACAAUAUCGUGGCAUCAUCCCUAUAAAGAAACAAACAUUUUUUUAAAAAUAAAAAUUCCUUCUCAAAACUUAUCAAAUUUCAAACUUUACUUUCGCACAUACUAAUCGCUUAGUUUUUUCCAAUUUAGUUUAUAACAUAGUCUCAUAUGCUUAAAUAAAAAUAAAACUUGAUUGUUUAUUUAUUGCUAUCACCUAGCCUUGCAUGCUCAAAUUAAUGAAAAAGUAAUAAAAUAGUAUUAAUUUUUUUUUGUUAUCACUUAGCAAGAUUAAAUAAAUUAAUAAAUGAAGUGACCUUGACUGUUAAUUGUAACCCUCACAUAGAUUGCAUGAAAUACGGUCGGGACCCACAUUUGUGGACCUCAAGGGAUGCCUAACACCUUCCCCUCGAGGUAAUUUGGACCCUUACCCUAAUCUCUGGCUCGUUGAACUUAGCUAGACUUAGUUAGGUUAGAUAGGUGCCCUAACGCGCCUUAAUUCGUUAGGUGGCGACUCCAAACUCAAAAUUCCAAAAUAGUUGUUAGGUCGUGCACAAAACCCGUUUUCUUCAAAAAUGGGGUGCGACACAAAGUGUUACUGAAACUUACCCCACAAAUCUGGAAACAGGUUAUAAGUAAUAAUAGACAUCGGGGUUUGAAUCCUAAAUAUGAUGGUCCAUUCGAAGUGGUGAAAUGAGUGAGUGAAGUUGCUUAUAGAUUUAAGCUGCCAGAAAGGUUGAAAAUUCAUCCCACUUUCCAUGUGAGUUUCUUGAAACCUUACUUUGCAGAUGCAGAUGAUCCGGACAAAAACAGGUCAAAGAGGGUCCUUUAUCGGUACCUACAUAGUAUGAUGCUGAAAUUGAUAAGAUCCUUGAUCACUGAGUUUUGGGCACAAGUAAGAAGAAUAUUGAGAUAGAAUUCGUGGUUCAUUCGAAAGGAAAGAGUGCAGUUGAUGCAGUUUGGGAGAAGGCGAAAGACUUAUGGCAGUUUGAUGCUCAAAUCGAGGACUAUCUUAAAAUAGUCUCGAUGAGGACAUCGAGUUCAAGUGGUGCGGGUAGUCUGUUAGACCCAUAAACUACUUUAUCUAAGUAUGUGCAGAUAUGUCAAGGACUUAGGCAUUGGUCUUGACAUGAAUGGGGGCAAAAUAGUGCAACACAUGUUCAAGGUGCUUGAGUGUUGUCAAAGCAACUUGAACAUGCAAGGAUUACGUGCGGGCUGGAGUCAUCAGCAAGGCAGCGUAUUGGCUUGACAAGUCAAAGUUGUGAAGACUUGACGAUGGCAAAAACAAAGGCAUUUCACGUGAAUUGCUGAAAUAAAACAAAGUGUUGGAGGGAAGCUAAAAUAUUCUAAGUAUUGGGAGCUGACUGAAAUAUUCUAAGUGUUGGAAUGUAGCCUGAAAUAUUCUAAGUAUUAGAAAUAUUUCCUGUGGAUAAGGAUGUAAUUUGAAUUAGAUUCCAUCUGUUAGAAAUAUAGUUGUUGGAAACUUUAGUUUGAAUCCUGUGAUGACAAGUGUCGGACAAGUGUCAUUUUUAACUGCUACAUGUAACUGCCAUGUGCAGAAAUUUUAUUAAGGUGGAUAUUUUGUUUAAGUCUAAGGAGAGUGAUUUCUGGCCUUAGACAAAUUCGUGAAGCCUUCCCUUUGUACUAAUUAUAAGAUUAAUAAAGGUUGGGACGAGUUCUUGUACAUUCUGUUCGCUGUUCAACUUUGCUGCUUAAGUAUUUCUAUACUUAGUCAAAUCUGUGUGAGUAAGAUAGGCUGAAAGUUGCAGACGUUUGCAAGACUGCCUAUGGAGGUGUUCGAUAAAAAUAAACCGACCCUCUUUCAAUAACCCUCUUACCAAAGGUUAUCCUAAGACUUACUUAAGUAAAACAAGAAGAGACUGUCCAUACACCCUCUUCAAGCACACCUAAUAAUCCUUAAGACUACAUAAGAUAAGAUCAUUCCCUUUGCACUACAUAGACUUUCUACCAAAGGUUACUCUAAGACUCAGUUUAGUAAGACAUGAAAAGACCACCCAUACACCCUCUUCAAGCCUACCUAGGAAAUCCUCAAAGCUACCCUUGAUACGGAUCCUUUUAUUCAACCUACAUUAACUUAAAUAAUAAUCAUUCAUUAAGUCAAUUAAUAUACAAUUAAGCAUUUAGAGGACAUCACGUAAUGGUUUUGGAGAAGACCUAGGGAAACCAAAUCCUAGCAUCUUCAAAGCCUACUCGUUCAAUGUCUAGAUAGUGUGCGAGUCGACUAACUAAAUGUUGUAGAACUUCUCCAACACUAGAAUGCAUCCUACAUGAUGUAAAUAUGCAUUAACAUUCAUAGACCAUACUAUCUAGACAUGGAAUGCGGAGUCUACCCUACUCCGAUGGAGUGUGUUUUACUUGCCAAGGGUAGAACUAGGACACAUCCCAUGUAGGCAUAUGACUAAGGAAUAUCAAGGGUUUGUUUGUAUCCUAGUCUCAUAAUAAGUAGAGUCACUACCACAAGCAUAUUCUCUCGGUGCUUUGCCUUAGUUCUCAUUAAGUAAGUUCAAUCACAAUAAGGCAUAUGAAAAGGCAACACUUCAUAGUAUUACCAAAGCAUAAUACCUCUACCAAGGAUGGGUCCUCUAGGGCUGCUACUUAAUGGUUAUAUGGAUAGCUCAAUAACUUCCUUAGAGAUGGUUUCAUGUUGUUCCAACAAACCUAUCCCUAAUUCAAUCAUUCACACAAGAAGGAUACUAUUACGUCUUUCGAUUUCAAGGAUAUCAUAAUAUUCUUUCUAUAUUGAAGCUUCCAAGUUAUUGACCUUCUUUACAGGUCCAAGGUCAUUUACUAGUCAUACUUAGAAGGGUACCAUCUUAGGACUACCGAUCCUAGACUUUCAUUCAACAUUUAUUCAUACACAUACACAUAUAUGACACAGGUACUUAAUGUUACAAAGUCAAGAGUCAACCUUCAUAUACUAAGCAUGUAUAGUUUUCCCGGACAUGGACCCCAACUAAUGCAAGAUUAAUAACUUUUUAAAACAGAAACUGGUACUAAAUACCCUAAUGAGGAGAACUCACCAACUGUGGAUUGGAAGUUCUAAACACUUACAAAGAACUCACCAACUGUGGAUUGGAAGUUCUAAACACUUACAAGUGUAUAGAAGUAAUAAUAAUGUUUUUUCCUAAGAAAUUUUUUACAACCAACAUACACCAUGUAGGUUCAUGUUGUCUAUCUUAUAAUCCAAGUAGGAAGGGUUGCCCUAUAACUUACCGGGGUAUACAUCAUAUUUAUCUGAUGUGCAUCCACUAACUUGGCAAAGGUCUAAAAGAGUUGACUUUCAAAGCGACAUAAUCAAUCCUACAUCGGCACACAGUUAUGGGACACAACCUUUAUAAGUUAAAGUUCUCUCGGUGCAAAUAAUCCUCCCACAAUAAUACUUAUAUGAUAUAGUCAUAUUUAUGUAGACUAUAUGUAUAUCUUAACAAAGUGUGAGAGAGCUAAAUCUUUCUCUCUAAAUCAUAUGUAAAAAAUUUCUUUUUAAAACAUAUCUUUCAAAUCAAGUUCAUCGCUUAAAUAAUGAGAAACUUUCGAUAACAUACAUAUGUUGUGAUUUCUCAAAAUUUAAUUAAUAGCAUAACCAGUUCUAAAAUCAUGCUUUGAACAUAUAAGCUUCAUGAGUCAUAAAAUAAUGUCAUGUCAAGAACUAAUAAGGAUUAUAAUAGUAAAGAAUUCAUUAUCAUAAAUAAAUAGUUCUAAAAAUCAUUCCGGGUCAUAAAAUGGUGAAGUUGGAAGAAGAUUUAUAAACCCUAACUAUGGAAUUAAAUUCAUAAAAUUUAGGAGUUUCGAUAUGAGGAAGAAAGGAAUUCUACAUUGAAGUCCUACAUAACUUAAUUGAUCCAAUUACCCAAGAAAAUGUAUGAUCAUGGAUGAAGAACCACAAAACUUUUCUUGAACAUUGGUGAUGAGUUCAUGAAGUGUUGUCUUUUAACUCUACUAAUUUAAUGAGUAGGAGAUAUUAACUGGUGUUAAAAUAAAGAAACUAUGAAAUUCUAUGGUCAAAUCUUACCUUGGUUGAUGGAUGAACCUUGGAGGAAAUUAGUUUCUUGAGAUUUUCUCUUUGUAGAGUAAAAUUUUGAACUAGGGAGGUGACACACGACUUUUUGGUCUUCUAUUAGUAUUUCUGACGUGUCCUAUCAUCCAUAUAAUUUCUUGGGCAUGCAGCAGACAUGCAGCAAGGCAGUAGUCAUUGCCUCUAAAUGGGUUGAUGCCUUGAAAACUAGAAUCACAUACCUAGAAUUUUGAUAGAUCAUGGGUUACCUAAUUCUUCAUAUUCUAGGAGAUAUGAUAGAUUGAAGUUGACCCUUAUAUGAACUCAUGCGAAAAACAUAGCAAGUAGAAAAUCCUUGCGCUCACCCUAGUCUUAUAGGUUCCUAUGACCGUAAACCAUAUCUAAUACAUUUCCCUCACUUGGGAAUGAACCUUAAGACACAUAUAUACAAAUUAGAAACCAUCACGUUCGACCUAUAUCAUAUGACAGAUGGUUCAGAUAUUUUUUAAAAGACAUAGGCGUUGAAGUGUGCGACCAUCUAAUCUAAAACACAUUUUUUAGUUGAUUAUAUUUUCAACACGCCUCCAGAAGUAAGGGCUUGAUUUACUUUCAAGGGCCAAGCACGUGGAAAUUCUUUUUGAUUUUGGUAGCGGUCAAAUUCGAUCACUGGACCUUUGCCUGCUCGGAUAUCAUGUUGAAGUGUGUGACCAUCUUUUCUAAAAGUUUAAGCUAUUAGAGAGAGCACACUUUUAUUAUUCGAUUAUAUUUUCAACAAUAGGGCAUUACAAUUGUAGUCCAUAUUUUCACAUUUUUAUUUGUAUAAGCUUGACUUCAAGACUUUACUUUUGUUAUUUCCUUUAUUUUUAUUUUCAUGUUUUGAGAUAUAUUCGAUUAUGAUGAAAAAUUGACUUACAUAUCCAUCGAAAAGAGUAGAUACAGUCAUGGCCUUGAAUUUAGCAGUUUUCUAUAGAACUUAUUUUCUUCAUCAUUGUAAUUAGUAAAGAUUGUUACCUCAUUAGGAAUUUAAAAUAAGGUCUAGCCCCACCUUCCUUGCACUUGGGGUUGUUGAGGAUUUUUAUUUUAUUAAUAAAUUCCGCUAGAUACGCUGUCUAGAGGUAUAAAUUUGUCAAAAAAAAAAAAAGAUUCAGUAAUUUAUCACUUGAUAUAUUCUUAAACUAAAGGAUAUUUAACCUGGAUAUUGGACUCCUAAAAUAUUGGAAUGAAUUAUAUUUGUAGAUCACUUUGAAUUCUGCCUUUUUCUCUAUUCUUUUCAAUAGAAAAUUUUUCCCUUGUUGAUUAUGAAGAGGAGAAGGUUUAAUGCAGAGAAAUUUCUCUCUUGUGUUAAAAUUGUCUGGUUGCAUUGUUGUGAUUGAAUAGAUAAAUGUUGAGUAAUUGUAUCAAAGUAAAUGUAUAAAGCACAAACACAGUGAAGCAAGCCAUUUAAGAAGUUCCGUUUAUUAGCUUGGACUUGUCUAUACAUUUUCCUAGUUCGAAAGGAUACAAAUUUAUUUGCUAAGACUUGUCUAUGCUUUUGAACUCUCAAAUAUGACUUUGAAAUUAGAUUCUCGAAACAGUUACGAAUAUUUCUUGGAAUGGUUGAGUCAUAUUUGUCAUGCAACAGAUCAAACAUGGACAUGUUUAAUUUACAAUUUUUUGUGCUGCUGCUGAUCUUAUUUCAUGCUUCUUUUUCUGCCAUACACGCAACAAGCAUACUGUGUUACUGAGUAGAAGGAGUGCCAUUAAGCCACGCCAUACUAAAAUUCCAAUUUCAAUGAUCUGACCAAGUGCUUGACUGUCCUUGCCAGGCGUGAGAAUGUAAAUUGAUAUGCCAUAACUGAGUGCUAUCGAGGAAACUGUCGACCACAUGAUUACCAUCAAACCCCACAUGAAAAGCCUGCGCCUGAAGGGCAAUCCACUUAUCAGCAGCAUUAUUUUGCUGAG
Molecule: long non-coding RNA, 12220 nt
Filed under: Solanum lycopersicum (tomato)
Lineage: Eukaryota; Viridiplantae; Streptophyta; Magnoliopsida; Solanales; Solanaceae
Description: long non-coding RNA (SLYC_LNC000525)
Source: RNAcentral